CAUGGUGCCACAGGGCUGACUGGUGAAAGCCAUCAUUAAGCCUACAGUAUUGUCAACUUACACGGACUGUAUCACCAUCACUACAGAUGCUGCCGGGCCCUGAGUUACUUCCAAAACACCUCAACAGAAUGAAGAAAGACAAUGGUUUCCUUCCAAGAAAUUCACCAGAGUAGAGACCUCUCCAACGAUGACAAAGCUAAAAAAAAAAAAUUCCACAAUGGUUCUUCCCUCAAUCAGCUUUCCUGUCUUCUC
Vombatus ursinus (common wombat) is the source of this 252-nucleotide long non-coding RNA. RefSeq lists it as uncharacterized. Lineage: Eukaryota; Metazoa; Chordata; Mammalia; Diprotodontia; Vombatidae. The record is from RefSeq and is a predicted model, not a curated record. The transcript has 2 exons.